This 87-nucleotide transfer RNA is filed under the name Pajaroellobacter abortibovis. It matches the Rfam family "tRNA". Rfam says of the family: Transfer RNA (tRNA) molecules are approximately 80 nucleotides in length. The record is from Rfam by way of RNAcentral. Lineage: Bacteria; Pseudomonadati; Myxococcota; Polyangiales; Polyangiaceae.
GGAGAGGUGGCCGAGUGGCUGAAGGCACCCGCUUGCUAAGCGGACGUAGGGAAAGCCCUACCGCGGGUUCGAAUCCCGCCCUCUCCG